RNAcentral lists this transfer RNA (62 nucleotides) under Cepaea nemoralis (banded wood snail). Its description in RNAcentral is "tRNA-Ala". Lineage: Eukaryota; Metazoa; Mollusca; Gastropoda; Stylommatophora; Helicidae. The record is from RNAcentral.
GAAAUAAUACUUUAUAUAGAAGGCUCGGUUUGCAUCUGAGUAGAAACAGCUGUUUUAUUUCG